UUCGGAAUCACUGGGCGUAAAGCGUGCGUAGGCUGUUUCGUAAGUCGUGUGUGAAAGGCGCGGGCUCAACCCGCGGACGGCACAUGAUACUGCGAGACUAGAGUAAUGGAGGGGGAACCGGAAUUCUCGGUGUAGCAGUGAAAUGCGUAGAUAUCGAGAGGAACACUCGUGGCGAAGGCGGGUUCCUGGACAUUAACUGACGCUGAGGCACGAAGGCCAGGGGAGCGAAAGGGAUUAGAUACCCCUGUAGUCCUGGCAGUAAACGGUGCACGCUUGGUGUGCGGGGAAUCGACCCCCUGCGUGCCGGAGCUAACGCGUUAAGCGUGCCGCCUGGGGGG
This 338-nucleotide ribosomal RNA is filed under the name uncultured bacterium. RNAcentral's name for it is "bacterial SSU rRNA". It matches the Rfam family "Bacterial small subunit ribosomal RNA", at positions 544 to 880 of the family's 1533-position model. The record is from RNAcentral.